UUCCUUGACAACUGCUUAUUAGUAUACUUACAUGAGAAGAGGGAUAGGGAAGUGAGAAAAAAGAACAGGGAAGACUGGGCUCGACCAGAGGCACAGAAUUCAUCCAAACGGAACCCAAUUGUUCAUAACACCAAAGGUCAGCCUGGCGGAAAGUGCUACCAUGAAGCCACUCUGGAAAUUAGAAGAUCCAGAAGACAUAGAAGAAGCUUCUUCUGGCCAGGCAGCGGGUCAGUGGCACUCAGUUCUCCAGAGCUCUGAUUUUUGGAGAUAUUUGGACUCCAGAACUGCAUGUCUCUGUAAUGUUUUCCCCUCCAGGAUUCUAGGAAAUUUAAUCCAGGUACUCAGUGUAGUAAUCCAUAUUUUCUCCCGGGAAGACGAGGCUGUAGUCAUUGUUUUCCUAGGGCACUGUGAGAAGUAAUGUGCAGGCCCUCCCCGUGGCCGCAAGCACUUUUGCUCCUGCCAGGCAGGACCGUGGACAGCGCUCUCCUUCGGCUCAGGGGCUCCAAGUACUCACAGGUACUUCCUCCCCGAAGGGCGGGGCUGUGGAUGUUGUCCUCCUUGGGCAUUCUGGGAAGUGUAGUCCAAGAACACCGUGUAGUCUCAUGCACUUCCGUUCCCAAAGGGCUGUACUGGGGAGUUCUGGGAAAUGUUGAUCUAGAGCUCCUGGUAGUUGCAGGCACUUCCGGCCCAGGUGGGCGGGGUUAUGACCUUGUGUUCGCGUAGUGAUUGUGGGUUCCUCAUCUCGCAACGCUUCUGAACUUCCUCGACCUGCUCUUGAAGCAACAACAACCCAGCUGUGGGCUUGAGGGGGAAAGCAGAUGUUUGAGCCCUGACUUCACAAGAACUGCUCCAAGGUGGACGGAGUGAGGGACCCCUUGGCUCCUGGCAGCAGGGCCCCACAAGUGCUUUGCCAAGGAUUUGAAGUGGCUUCAACUGGUCUUUGCUCAGAUGUUUCCAGUACCAUCUAUGACGUGUUCUAUCAAAAGAGAUGAACUUUAAACAGGCCUUUAGAUUUAAAUUUUACUUUAUAGGAAACAGAAUAGACGAAGAAACUAUCUAAUGAUAUGAAAAAUAAACAGGAGAAAUUCAGAAUGUAGAUCAUCAUGACAACCAACCCGAUUCCUCAACAGGUCAAAGUUCUGUAAGAAGAAGUGAAUGGAUAGUAUUCAAGAAUAAACACACCUGAACAAAUAAAAUGAAUGGACUCUGGACAUUGAUUUGAACAAACCACUGAUGAGGGGGUUUGGGGAAAAUCUGAAAACAGACUGGAUAUUAGGAAAUAUUAAAGAAUUAAUAAUUAUUUUAUUUAGCAUGAUAAGGGUAUUGUGGUUUUGAAAGAAUAUUUUUAUUUUUUAAAUAUUUAACAAGGUGUGAAAAGACAUGAUGUCGGGGAUUUGUUUCAAAAUUCUACUAUAACUAAAAAUAAUAGUGAUAGAUGAAUUAAAUGUUUAAAAUUAAGUUGAAUUUUGGAUAUGAGUAUAUGGGGUGCAUUUUACUGUUCUCUCUUUUGAAAACUUUCAUAAUAAAAAGCUACAAAAUACAUUUCCUGCCUAGGAGAAAAAUCAUCACGUCCUUGUUCACUUGGCU
Molecule: non-coding RNA, 1587 nt
Organism: Vicugna pacos (alpaca)
Lineage: Eukaryota; Metazoa; Chordata; Mammalia; Artiodactyla; Camelidae
Source: RefSeq, a predicted model, not a curated record